This 242-nucleotide transfer RNA is filed under the name Marmota monax (woodchuck). RNAcentral's name for it is "tRNA.Ala". Lineage: Eukaryota; Metazoa; Chordata; Mammalia; Rodentia; Sciuridae. The record is from RNAcentral.
GGUUGUGGCUCAGCGGUAGAGUGCUCGCCUAGCAUAUGUGAUAAAUAAAUAAAAUAAAGGUAUUGUGUCCAACUACAACUAAAAAAAUUUUAAAAAAAGAAAAGAAAGGGGUUUACUAUGUUUCAGGUAUUAUUCUAAUUAUUUCACAUACUUGUAUUAUUUAACCACUGCUUGGCUGGGGGUGGGAUUUAGAGUUAGAGUGCUAGCCUAGCAUGAAGCCCUGGUUUUGAUCCCCAGCACUG